AAGGAAUAUUGGACAAUGGGCGGAAGCCUGAUCCAGCCAUGCCGCGUGAAGGAUGAAGGCGCUCAGCGUUGUAAACUUCUUUUGGAUGGGGACAAUAACUUUCAUUUAUGGGAGCUUGAGGGUACCAUCAGAAUAAGCUCCGGCUAACUCCGUGCCAGCAGCCGCGGUAAUACGGAGGGUGCAAGCGUUAUCCGGAAUCACUGGGUUUAAAGGGUGCGUAGGCGGUCAGAUAAGUCAGUCGUGAAAUUCCUCGGCUUAACCGGGUGGACUGCGAUUGAUACUGUUUGACUUGAAUGAGGCUGAGGUAGGCGGAAUGUGGCAUGUAGCGGUGAAAUGCUUAGAUAUGCCAUAGAACACCGAUUGCGAAGGCAGCUUGCUGGGCCUUCAUUGACGCUGAGGCACGAAAGCGUGGGGAGCAAAC
Molecule: ribosomal RNA, 421 nt
Filed under: uncultured bacterium
Lineage: Bacteria
Description: bacterial SSU rRNA
Rfam family: Bacterial small subunit ribosomal RNA
Source: RNAcentral